GACCUACGGGGCGCAGCAGUGGGGAAUAUUGGGCAAUGGAGGCAACUCUUACCCAGCAAUGCCGCGUGAAUGAAGAAGGUCUUCGGAUUGUAAAGUUCUUUAAUUGGGGACGAAAAAAAUGACGGUACCCAAGGAAUAAGCCCCGGCUAACUACGUGCCAGCAGCCGCGGUAAUACGUAGGGGGCAAGCGUUAUCCGGAAUUACUGGGUGUAAAGGGAGCGUAGACGGUGAUGCAAGUCUGGAGUGAAAGGCGGGGGCCUAACCC
RNAcentral lists this ribosomal RNA (265 nucleotides) under uncultured bacterium. RNAcentral describes it as "partial 16S ribosomal RNA". It matches the Rfam family "Bacterial small subunit ribosomal RNA", at positions 335 to 615 of the family's 1533-position model. The record is from RNAcentral.